This 74-nucleotide transfer RNA is filed under the name Ignavibacteriaceae bacterium. RNAcentral's name for it is "tRNA-Lys". It matches the Rfam family "tRNA". From Rfam's summary of the family: Transfer RNA (tRNA) molecules are approximately 80 nucleotides in length. Their secondary structure includes four short double-helical elements and three loops (D, anti-codon, and T loops). Further hydrogen bonds mediate the characteristic L-shaped molecular structure. tRNAs have two regions of fundamental functional importance: the anti-codon, which is responsible for specific mRNA codon recognition, and the 3' end, to which the tRNAs corresponding amino acid is attached (by aminoacyl-tRNA synthetases). tRNAs cope with the degeneracy of the genetic code in two manners: having more than one tRNA (with a specific anti-codon) for a particular amino acid; and 'wobble' base-pairing, i.e. permitting non-standard base-pairing at the 3rd anti-codon position. Lineage: Bacteria; Pseudomonadati; Ignavibacteriota; Ignavibacteria; Ignavibacteriales; Ignavibacteriaceae. The record is from RNAcentral.
GCACAAAUAGCUCAGCGGAUGAGCAAUGAUCUCUUAAAUCAUAGACGUAGGUUCAAAUCCUACUUUGUACACCA